RNAcentral lists this ribosomal RNA (553 nucleotides) under uncultured archaeon. RNAcentral describes it as "bacterial SSU rRNA". It matches the Rfam family "Archaeal small subunit ribosomal RNA", at positions 326 to 879 of the family's 1478-position model. The record is from RNAcentral.
CGGGGUGCAGCAGGCGCGAAAACUUUACAAUGCUGGCAACAGCGAUAAGGGGACCUCGAGUGCCAGGUUACAAAUCUGGCUGUCGUGAUGCCUAAAAAGCAUUGCAUAGCAAGGGCCGGGCAAGACCGGUGCCAGCCGCCGCGGUAACACCGGCGGCUCGAGUGGUAACCGUUAUUAUUGGGUCUAAAGGGUCUGUAGCCGGCCGGAUAAGUCUCUUGGGAAAUCCAGCAGCUCAACUGUUGGGCUUUCAGGAGAUACUGUCUGGCUCGAGGCCGGGAGAGGUGAGAGGUACUUCAGGGGUAGGGGUGAAAUCUUGUAAUCCUUGAAGGACCACCAGUGGCGAAGGCGUCUCACCAGAACGGACCUGACGGCAAGGGACGAAAGCUAGGGGCACGAACCGGAUUAGAUACCCGGGUAGUCCUAGCCGUAAACGAUACUCGCUAGGUGUCGGCCACGGUGCGACCGUUGUCGGUGCCGUAGGGAAGCCGUGAAGCGAGCCACCUGGGAAGUACGGCCGCAAGGCUGAAACUUAAAGGAAUUGGCGGGGGAGCAC